This 492-nucleotide ribosomal RNA is filed under the name uncultured bacterium. RNAcentral's name for it is "partial 16S ribosomal RNA". It matches the Rfam family "Bacterial small subunit ribosomal RNA", at positions 29 to 507 of the family's 1533-position model. The record is from RNAcentral.
AGUGAACGCUGGCGGUAGGCCUAACACAUGCAAGUCGAACGGCAGCACAGUAAGAGCUUGCUCUUACGGGUGGCGAGUGGCGGACGGGUGAGGAAUACAUCGGAAUCUACUUUUUCGUGGGGGAUAACGUAGGGAAACUUACGCUAAUACCGCAUACGACCUACGGGUGAAAGCAUGGGAUCUUAGGACCUUGCGCGAUUGAAUGAGCCGAUGUCGGAUUAGCUAGUUGGCGGGGUAAAGGCCCACCAAGGCGACGAUCCGUAGCUGGUCUGAGAGGAUGAUCAGCCACACUGGAACUGAGACACGGUCCAGACUCCUACGGGAGGCAGCAGUGGGGAAUAUUGGACAAUGGGCGCAAGCCUGAUCCAGCCAUACCGCGUGGGUGAAGAAGGCCUUCGGGUUGUAAAGCCCUUUUGUUGGGAAAGAAAAGCAGCAGGUUAAUACCCCGCUGUUCUGACGGUACCCAAAGAAUAAGCACCGGCUAACUUCGUG